AUGCGAUUUCCCACCAUGAUAAACGUUGUAGCCGUAUGCCUCGUCCUCUCCACCCUGGCCGCCGCCGGCGUCUGGUCGCCAGCGCCUCCGCCGCCGGCCCAGCAGCACGGUGAGCAUGUCCUCCGGGAGGGCCGCCGCGUCGUCAUCGUCGAGUACGAGCGCGAGCUCCCGCUCACCCCGGGCCAGGGCUCCGCCAAAGAGACGCACGUCUUGCCCCCUCACGCUCUCGACGGCGUCGAGGCGAAAGAAACGGUGUCGGAGGAGGCCAGGGGAGCCGUCUCCAACGCGGCGGACAAGGUGGCUGGCGCGGCGGAGGAUGGCAAGGAGAAGUUGUCCAAUGCCAAGGAGAGCGCCACGGGCAAGGUGUUCGGCGCGGUGAAGCGCUGCAAGGACAGGCUCUGCGGCGCCGCCAAGGGGUUGGAGGAGGGCGCGAGAGUCGGGGUCUCCCGCGUCAAAGAUGGCGCCGAGGACACGGUGACAGCUGCCGGGGAGACGCUCUCUGGUGCCAAGGACAAAGCGGAGGGCAAGGUGUUCGACGCUGCAUCAGAGGCGAAGGGCGCUGCGAUGAGUGCCAAGGACAAGGUCUCCGAAGCAGCCGGUGGAGCCAAGGAGAAGGCAGCACACAUCAAGGAUGGAGCGGCUGGAACCGUGAGGAGUGCCAAGGACAAGGUCUCCGAAGCAGCCGGUGGAGCCAAGGAGAAGGCAGCACACGUGAAGGACAAAGCAGCUGAAACAGUGACGAAUGCCAAGGGCAAGGUUUCAGAAGCAGCCGGUGAAGCCAAGGAGAAAGCAUCGCACGUGAAGGACCGAGCAGCUGAGACAGUGACCAGUGCCAAGGGCAAGGUCUCUGAAGCUGCAGGGAACGCCAAAGACAAGGUCUCUGACAUCGCAGAACGAGCAGAGGAUUACGCCGGGGAUGCUGCAGGGAACGCGGCCGAGAAGGUGGCGCGAGCCGAGGAGGUCGCGAAGGCGAAGGCCGGGGAGGUGACCAAGAACCUGACCGACAUCGCGAGGCGGGCCCGGGAGGUGGCGUCCGAUGCAGCCGGAUACCUGCUCGGCGCGCCCAUGGAGGCCGCGCGCACCGCGACGGCGGUGAUGCAUCUGCUCGGGUUCGCCACGGCCUACGGCGCGUGCGUGUGGGUGACGUUCGUGUCGAGCCACGUCCUCGCUGCGUCGCUGCCCCGGCAGCAGCUCGGCGUGGUGCAGAGCAAGCUGUACCCGGUGUACUUCCGCGCCAUGGCCUACUGCGUCGGCCUGGCCCUGGCGGCGCACCUGCUCGGCCGCGAGAGGAGCUCCUUCGCGGCGCGCGCCCAGACCUUCAACUUGCUCAGCGCGCUGGGACUGGUCCUCGCCAACAUGCUGCUUCUCGAGCCAAAAGCCACCAAGGUGAUGUUCGAAAGGAUGAAAGUGGAGAAGGAAGAAGGCAGAGGAAGGGACAUGUCCGACAUCAUCGACCCGCCGGCCGUCACGGUGGCCACGGCCGCCACGACCACCACAGCCGCCCCCACGGCAGCAGGAGCCCGCAGCCCGGUGGACGGCACGACGGGAACCGUCAGGGCGGCGAAGACCACGACGACGACGACCUCGGUGACGGCGCCCGACGCGGAGAUGGCCAAGAGCAAGGUGGUGAGGCUGAACAAGCGGCUGAAGCAGCUCAACGGCUACUCGUCCCUGUGCAACGUGCUGUCCCUGAUGGCCCUGACGUGGCACCUCGUUCACCUGGCUCGCCGCCUGCAGAUGAGCACCGCCUGCUAG
Molecule: ribosomal RNA, 1755 nt
Filed under: Triticum aestivum (bread wheat)
Lineage: Eukaryota; Viridiplantae; Streptophyta; Magnoliopsida; Poales; Poaceae
Description: partial small subunit ribosomal RNA
Source: RNAcentral